GGGUACUCGAGCGGCGAACGGGUGAGUAACACGUGAGCAACCUGCCCUAGGCUUUGGGAUAACCCCGGGAAACCGGGGCUAAUACCGAAUAGGACUGCUGGUCGCAUGACUGGUGGUGGAAAGUUUUUCGGCCUGGGAUGGGCUCGCGGCCUAUCAGCUUGUUGGUGGGGUGAUGGCCUACCAAGGCGACGACGGGUAGCCGGCCUGAGAGGGCGACCGGCCACACUGGGACUGAGACACGGCCCAGACUCCUACGGGAGGCAGCAGUGGGGAAUAUUGCACAAUGGGCGGAAGCCUGAUGCAGCGACGCCGCGUGAGGGAUGACGGCCUUCGGGUUGUAAACCUCUUUCAGCAGGGACGAAGCGUGAGUGACGGUACCUGCAGAAGAAGCGCCGGCCAACUACGUGCCAGCAGCCGCGGUAAGACGUAGGGCGCGAGCGUUGUCCGGAUUUAUUGGGCGUAAAGAGCUCGUAGGCGGCUUGUCGCGUCGACCGUGAAAACUUGGGGCUCAACCCCAAGCCUGCGGUCGAUACGGGCAGGCUAGAGUUCGGUAGGGGAGACUGGAAUUCCUGGUGUAGCGGUGAAAUGCGCAGAUAUCAGGAGGAACACCGGUGGCGAAGGCGGGUCUCUGGGCCGAUACUGACGCUG
Molecule: ribosomal RNA, 648 nt
Filed under: Micromonospora sp. PC4042
Lineage: Bacteria; Bacillati; Actinomycetota; Actinomycetes; Micromonosporales; Micromonosporaceae
Description: bacterial SSU rRNA
Rfam family: Bacterial small subunit ribosomal RNA
Source: RNAcentral